ACGAUGUCACUAGCUGUUGGGGCCGUUAGGCCUUAGUAGCGCAGCUAACGCGUGAAGUUGACCGCCUGGGGAGUACGGUCGCAAGAUUAAAACUCAAAGGAAUUGACGGGGACCCGCACAAGCGGUGGAUGAUGUGGAUUAAUUCGAUGCAACGCGAAAAACCUUACCUACCCUUGACAUGUCUGGAAAGCCGAAGAGAUUUGGCCGUGCUCGCAAGAGAACCGGAACACAGGUGCUGCAUGGCUGUCGUCAGCUCGUGUCGUGAGAUGUUGGGUUAAGUCCCGCAACGAGCGCAACCCUUGUCAUUAGUUGCUACGCAAGAGCACUCUAAUGAGACUGCCGGUGACAAACCGGAGGAAGGUGGGGAUGACGUCAAGUCCUCAUGGCCCUUAUGGGUAGGGCUUCACACGUCAUACAAUGGUCGGGACAGAGGGUCGCCAACCCGCGAGGGGGAGCCAAUCUCAGAAACCCGAUCGUAGUCCGGAUCGCAGUCUGCAACUCGACUGCGUGAAGUCGGAAUCGCUAGUAAUCGCGGAUCAGAAUGUCGCGGUGAAUACGUUCCCGGGUCUUGUACACACCGCCCGUCACACCAUGGGAGUGGGUUUCACCAGAAGUAGGUAGCCUAACCGUAAGGAGGGCGCU
RNAcentral lists this ribosomal RNA (642 nucleotides) under Pseudomonas putida. RNAcentral's name for it is "bacterial SSU rRNA". It matches the Rfam family "Bacterial small subunit ribosomal RNA", at positions 806 to 1454 of the family's 1533-position model. The record is from RNAcentral. Lineage: Bacteria; Pseudomonadati; Pseudomonadota; Gammaproteobacteria; Pseudomonadales; Pseudomonadaceae.